This 4216-nucleotide long non-coding RNA is filed under the name Salmo salar (Atlantic salmon). RNAcentral describes it as "lncRNA (ENSSSAG00000108032.1)". Lineage: Eukaryota; Metazoa; Chordata; Actinopteri; Salmoniformes; Salmonidae. The record is from RNAcentral.
CUGAGAAAACGUAUCCUAUAAAUGCUUAUGAAAUUCCUCUGCAAAUAUGCUGAGUGAACUGGCAACUUUUUGUUUUGUGUGUUUUCCUGAAAAGCCUGUAUCUAGUGCGUGAUGUCUCAUUUUUUAAUGCCGAUUUUUAUUUUUUGGAGGGGGUGUUCAUAAAUCAGAUGCUAAACCAUAGAUUGUACAAUAUAAACAUUGGGAUUGUAGCUACAUCAUGUCCAUGCACAGACUACGGGAGCUGGACAUCUACACAGUGAUUCGACCGGUAAUUGGAACUGACUAAAUGCCCGGAUCAAACUUUAAAAAGGCAGAAGAGACUUCUGAUCUCAGACUGACUCAGACAUGGAGGAAGAGGAGUCAGGACCUCACAGUGGUACCACCGUGACAGCAGCACAACCCGACGGCGCUGUCUCCCUGUGAAUACGACGGGUGCUGUUUCCCUGUGAAUACGACGGGCGCUGUUUCCCUGUGAAUACGACGGGUGCUGUCUCCCUGUGAAUACGACGGGUGCUGUUUCCCUGUGAAUACGACGGGUGCUGUCUCCCUGUGAAUACGACGGGUGCUGUCUCCCUGUGAAUACGACGGGUGCUGUCUCCCUGUGAAUACGACGGGUGCUGUUUCCCUGUGAAUACGACGGGUGCUGUUUCCCUGUGAAUACGACGGGUGCUGUUUCCCUGUGAAUACGACGGGUGCUGUUUCCCUGUGAAUACGACGGGCGCUGUUUCCCUGUGAAUACGACGGGUGCUGUUUCCCUGUGAAUACGACGGGUGCUGUUUCCCUGUGAAUACGACGGGUGCUGUUUCCCUGUGAAUACGACGGGUGCUGUUUCCCUGUGAAUACGACGGGUGCUGUUUCCCUGUGAAUACUGUGCAGGAUGUGGAGGCGAUGGAGCAAAAGUUACUCGACACAGCUUUCCUGAAUGGAGUGGUAGCUGCUAUGAAUGGGAUGUUUAUCAAAAUAUUUAUUGUAGUAUUUUGUUUAUUUAGUCCAUUGUUAAUAUAAUCCCAACAAUCGUGCAUGUUAGCAAAUCAAGUUUUCAAGAUGGAGCACUUUCAGUACAGAGCAAACAGUGAUGAUGACACAAAUGAGAAACAUUAUUAUAAUUAUUAUCAUAUCAUUAGCAUCAUCCCUCUCAUUGGCUCUAUACUGCAGUGUUUCCUGGUCCAGGGGAUCAAAAGGACCUUUGAAUUGAAUAAGGUAUGUGAGUGCUGAGGCAAAAAAACAACAGUGUGCAUCCCUUGGGACCAGGAUUGGGGAACACCGCUGUACUGAAAGUCCAUCUUGAGAACUUCACUGCUGAACAUUUUGGGGGAUUUUAUACAGGGUGAGGAAACUAAGGUGUACGUUUUUUGUAAUUUGAUUGAACUAUCCCUUGAUCUGAAAAAAUGUGGUAUAAAUAAACCUGCUCAGAUCAGGGCUACUGUUUAUGAGAUGAUGAUGAUGAUGAUGAUGAUGAUAGGACCAGAUACUACUUGACACGUGUAAAAGGUCUCCCCUCACCUGGUUGUCUAGGUCUCUCCUCACCUGGUUGUCUAGGUCUCAGUAAGGAACUCCCCUCACCUGGUUGUCCAGGUCUCAGUAAGGAACUCUCCUCACCUGGUUGUCUAGGUCUCUCCUCACCUGGUUGUCUAGGUCUCAGUAAGGAACUCUCCUCACCUGGUUGUCUAGGUCUCAGUAAGGAACUCCCCUCACCUGGUUGUCUAGGUCUCAGUAAGGACCUCUCCUCACCUGGUUGUCUAGGUCUCAGUAAGGAACUCUCCUCACCUGGUUGUCUAGGUCUCAGUAAGGACCUCUCCUCACCUGGUUGUCUAGGUCUCUCCUCACCUGGUCGUCUAGGUCUCAGUAUGGAACUCUCCUCACCUGGUUGUCUAGGGCUCAGUAAGGAACUCUCCUCACCUGGUUGUCCAGGUCUCAGUAAGGAACUCCCCUCACCUGGUUGUCUAGGUGUCAGUAAGGAACUCUCCUCACCUGGUUGUCUAGGUCUCCCCUCACCUGGUUGUCUAGGUCUCAGUAAGGAACUCUCCUCACCUGGUUGUCCAGGUCUCAGUAAGGAACUCUCCUCACCUGGUUGUCUAGGUCUCAGUAAGGAACUCCCCUCACCUGGUUGUCUAGGUCUCAGUAAGGAACUCCCCUCACCUGGUUGUCUAGGUCUCAGUAAGGAACUCUCCUCACCUGGUUGUCUAGGUCUCAGUAAGGAACUCCCCUCACCUGGUUGUCUAGGUCUCAGUAAGGAACUCUCCUCACCUGGUUGUCUAGGUCUCAGUAAGGAACGCCCCUCACCUGGUUGUCUAGGUCUCAGUAAGGAACUCUCCUCACCUGGUUGUCUAGGUCUCAGUAAGGAACUCCCCUCACCUGGUUGUCUAGGUCUCAGUAAGGAACUCCCCUCACCUGGUUGUCUAGGUCUCAGUAAGGAACUCCCCUCACCUGGUUGUCUAGGUCUCCCCUCACCUGGUUGUCCAGGUCUCAGUAAGGAACUCCCCUCACCUGGUUGUCUAGGUCUCAGUAAGGAACUCCCCUCACCUGGUUGUCCAGGUCUCAGUAAGGAACUCCCCUCACCUGGUUGUCUAGGUCUCCCCUCACCUGUUUGUCUAGGUCUCCCCUCACCUGGUUCUCUAGGUCUCAGUAAGGAACUCCGGUCACCUGGUUGUCUAGGUCUCAGUAAGGAACUCUCCUCACCUGGUUAUCUAGGUGUCAGUAAGGAACUCCCCUCACCUGGUUGUCUAGGUCUCUCCUCACCUGGUUGUCUAGGUCUCAGUAAGGAACUCCCCUCACCUGGUUGUCUAGGUCUCAGUAAGGACCACCCCUCACCUGGUUGUCUAGGUCUCAGUAAGGAACACCCCUCACCUGGUUGUCUAGGUCUCAGUAAGGAACUCCCCUCACCUGGUUGUCUAGGUCUCAGUAAGGAACUCCCCUCACCUGGUUGUCUAGGUCUCAGUAAGGAACUCCCCUCACCUGGUUGUCUAGGUCUCAGUAAGGAACUCCCCUCACCUGGUUGUCUAGGUCUCAGUAAGGAACUCUCCUCACCUGGUUGUCUAGGUCUCAGUAAGGAACUCCCCUCACCUGGUUGUCUAGGUCUCAGUAAGGAACUCUCCUCACCUGGUUGUCUAGGUCUCAGUAAGGAACCCCCCUCACCUGGUUGUCUAGGUCUCAGUAAGGAACUCUCCUCACCUGGUUGUCUAGGUCUCAGUAAGGAACUCCCCUCACCUGGUUGUCUAGGUCUCAGUAAGGAACUCCCCUCACCUGGUUGUCUAGGUCUCUCCUCACCUGGUUGUCUAGGUCUCAGUAAGGAACUCUCCUCACCUGGUUGUCUAGGUCUCAGUAAGGAACUCCCCUCACCUGGUUGUCUAGGUCUCAGUAAGGAACUCCCCUCACCUGGUUGUCUAGGUCUCUCCUCACCUGGUUGUCUAGGUCUCAGUAAGGAACUCUCCUCACCUGGUUGUCUAGGUCUCAGUAAGGAACUCUCCUCACCUGGUUGUCUAGGUCUCAGUAAGGAACUCCCCUCACCUGGUUGUCUAGGUCUCCCCUCACCUGGUUGUCUAGGUCUCAGUAAGGAACUCUCCUCACCUGGUUGUCUAGGUCCCAGUGAGGAACUCUCCUCACCUGGUUGUCUAGGUCUCAGUAAGGAACUCUCCUCACCUGGUUGUCUAGGUCUCCCCUCACCUGGUUGUCUAGGUCUCAGUAAGGAACUCUCCUCACCUGGUUGUCCAGGUCUCAGUAAGGAACUCAGUAAGAGGGGGGGGGGGGCAGUGCCCCUGUGACAACAACUUUGGACCCCCUUGUGGCCCCCCCUAAAUGUGAAGUAUGAAAUAAUUUUUACAUAACACAUUUUUUGCUAUCGUUCUUUUUUUUUUACAUCCGUUAUUAGACAGUGGCAACGCGGAACACUAAUUUAACACAGACAUCUUCUAGAGGGACGGAUUUAGGAUGGAACACAGCAGUAUCGUACCACAUGCAAAACGAUAUGACAACAAUAACGUCUAAUGUAACUGGCCCCCCCUCUAACAGUACAACUGGCCCCUCUAACAGUACAACUGGCCCCUCCCUCUAACAGUACAACUGGCCCCAGCUUGGCCCCCCCUCUAACAGUACAACUGGCCCCAGCUUGGCCCCCCCUCUAACAGUACAGCUGGCCCCCCCCUCUAACAGUACAACUGGCCCCUCUAACAGUACAACUGGCCCCAGCUUGGCCCCCCCUCUAACAGUACAACUGGCC